UGUUAGUGCUCCAGGUUCUAAAAGUUUCUUGUUGAUUUGCAGGUUGCCCUCAACAGAGCCCCAUACCUCUUGUGUGAAAAACCAUUUCACCUCUUACUGAUGUGGGUGAAGACAAGGCCUUCCUAAUUCAAGGCUUCCAGAUGUUUCUCACUGUGAGGUGUGAUGGAGCUGGGAAGUGAGGGACCUGGUAGUGCUGCCAGCAAAAGGUGAAGCUUGCAUGGAGUUUGAGAAACAAGAGGGAUGUGCCUGAGGAAAGGACUGUUGCUGUGUUUGCAGCUGUACUGGGUGAAGAGGCAACUCAAACUAGCAUACGAAGAAUUGAGAAGGUGGAAGAUUGCUGAUGAAUGGGUUACACUUGCAUGAACAGCAUUAAAAAAGCCAAUGUGUUUUUACCCCACUGGUAAUGUUUGCCUGAUAUUGAUUGGAGUGAAUAAAAAUCUGUAAACUCUA
Pyrgilauda ruficollis (rufous-necked snowfinch) is the source of this 450-nucleotide long non-coding RNA. RefSeq lists it as uncharacterized. The record is from RefSeq and is a predicted model, not a curated record. Lineage: Eukaryota; Metazoa; Chordata; Aves; Passeriformes; Passeridae. The transcript has 7 exons.